AAUGAACGCUGGCGGCGCGCCUAAUACAUGCAAGUCGAGCGAGAAGACGUAGCAAUACGUUUGUAAAGCGGCGAACGGGUGAGGAAUACAUGGGUAACCUACCCUCGAGUGGGGAAUAACUAGCCGAAAGGUUAGCUAAUACCGCGUACGCUCCUUGGACUUCGGUUCAGGGAGGAAAGCGAUACCGUGGGUAUCGCGCUCUUGGUUGGGCUCAUGUCCUAUCAGCUUGUUGGUGAGGAACGGCUCACCAAGGCUUCGACGGGUAGCUGGUCUGAGAGGACGAUCAGCCACACUGGCACUGCGACACGGGCCAGACUCCUACGGGAGGCAGCAGUAAGGAAUACUGCGCAAUGGGCGAAAGCCUGACGCAGCGACGCCGC
This 380-nucleotide ribosomal RNA is filed under the name uncultured bacterium. RNAcentral's name for it is "bacterial SSU rRNA". It matches the Rfam family "Bacterial small subunit ribosomal RNA", at positions 29 to 400 of the family's 1533-position model. The record is from RNAcentral.